CUAUGAUUUUGUGAGCCGUAACUUCUUGAGUUACCAAUCAAGUUACAGGCAAAAAAAAAAAACAACAACUAAUGAUAAGCAUAGGAUUUUACAUGGUUUAUCCAAAGUUAUGCUAUGUCCAUUGGGAAGAAAGUGAUCCAUAAUAAACAAUCAGAAUCUUGUUCCAAGAACUACUAGACUUUAGAAAAGGUGCACAAGGAUACCCUAAGAAAAAAAUUGGCAAAG
Molecule: long non-coding RNA, 225 nt
Filed under: Elaeis guineensis (African oil palm)
Lineage: Eukaryota; Viridiplantae; Streptophyta; Magnoliopsida; Arecales; Arecaceae
Description: long non-coding RNA (EGUI_LNC008934)
Source: RNAcentral